This 283-nucleotide ribosomal RNA is filed under the name uncultured Bacteroides sp. Its description in RNAcentral is "partial 16S ribosomal RNA". It matches the Rfam family "Bacterial small subunit ribosomal RNA", at positions 65 to 339 of the family's 1533-position model. The record is from RNAcentral. Lineage: Bacteria; Pseudomonadati; Bacteroidota; Bacteroidia; Bacteroidales; Bacteroidaceae.
AGGGGCAGCAUGGUCUUAGCUUGCUAAGGCCGAUGGCGACCGGCGCACGGGUGAGUAACGCGUAUCCAACCUGCCUUACACUCUUGGACAGCCUUCUGAAAGGGAGAUUAAUACAAGAUGUUAUCAUGAGUAAGCAUUUUCGCAUGAUUAAAGGUUUACCGGUGUAAGAUGGGGAUGCGUUCCAUUAGAUAGUAGGCGGGGUAACGGCCCACCAAGGCGACGAUCAGUAGGGGUUCUGAGAGGAAGGUCCCCCACAUUGGAACUGAGACACGGUCCAAACUCC